GGAGUUAACUAGACAAUCACUUAAAUCUUUGGAUUUAGGAGGAAAGUCCGGGCUCUAGCGGGAACGAUGCCAGGUAACACCUGGAAGGCGUAAGCCUAUGGAAAGUGCAGCAGAAAAUAUACCGCUUCAAUUUGAAGUAAGGGUGAAAAGGUGUGGUAAGAGCUCACCGCAUGGAUGGCAACAUUUAUGGCAUUGUAAACCCCAUCGAGAGCAAGACCAAAUAGAGGAGUAAUGAUUUCCCGUAAUCGCUCCAGGGUAGGUUGCUAGAGGUAUUUGGUGACAAAUAUCCCAGAUGAAUGAUUGUCCAAGACAGAACCCGGCUUAUCGGUUAACUCUAAUC
This 340-nucleotide RNase P RNA is filed under the name Gammaproteobacteria bacterium. RNAcentral describes it as "RNase P RNA component class A". It matches the Rfam family "Bacterial RNase P class A". Rfam says of the family: Ribonuclease P (RNase P) is a ubiquitous endoribonuclease, found in archaea, bacteria and eukarya as well as chloroplasts and mitochondria. Its best characterised activity is the generation of mature 5'-ends of tRNAs by cleaving the 5'-leader elements of precursor-tRNAs. The record is from RNAcentral. Lineage: Bacteria; Pseudomonadati; Pseudomonadota; Gammaproteobacteria.